CCGCCUGGCCUUCUCCAGUCCCCUGGCCCACGAUGGAGACCCUCAGGAUACUUGUGGAAACUGGGCAGACAUGGUGGGCUGCCGGGCCCUGGGCUGGAAUGGUGGGGGGGGGGGGCUUUCUAACGAGCUGCCUCUUAGCAGGGUGGGAGAGAAUUCUGGGUGGCCUGUGACAGCAUAAUAACCCCACAUCACUCAGCGACAGGACCGAGGCCUUCAGCUCCUGCUGGGGCGAUGGGCAGGGCCCCACCCCCUUCCUCCCAGGGCACCGGAGCCAGUGGCUGCGCGGGUGGGUCAGCCUGGAAGACCCGGGGCGGGAGAGAGGAGCCGGCCCAGGACGUGUCCCCAGCGGCUGGACGAGAGGCUGUGUGCUCGGGCCCCGACGCCAACUCGGAAACACUGCAGAGGAGCAGCAGCUCAAGACGCCUGAGCCCCAGGAGUCCCGGGCCUGCUUCCCGGGCCCUGCACUCCCAGGGCUGCCCCCCAGCCUGGCCCACCUGCAGUGGGCGUCCUGUCACCUCGACGACCCCGGCCGGCGGAGUGGUGGAGAGGGUGUGGACUCUGCAGCCGGCUGGCUCUGAGCUGGGCAUGGUCCCCCGGAGCAGAGCUCCUUCAAAUCCCCGCUCCGCCCCCAGCCAGCUGAGUAACCUCGGGCGACCAGAGACCCCACCCUGCCCCUGCCCCCCCGGGGAUUGUGAGCAGCUGGCUGCACAACCGAGGAGACUCCCAGAGACAGCUCAGCAGAACCCCCCGCAGCCCUGCCAACAGACCCCACCGACACUGCGGCCGUGUCCCCCGCCAGGCGCUCAGGCCCUCAUCACUCUCCCCCAGCAUCCCCCCAACUUUCUAGCCCUGAUCCCUAAAGGGCAGAGGGAGGGGCUCUCUGAGCAGAAAUAGGUCGUAAGCAGUUUCCCUCCUCAGGAAGCAGCUAUUUCAUAAAUACGAUGGCGGGGGUGGGGGGCGCCUGGGGGGCUCAGGGGGUUAAGUGUCCACCUCCUGUUUUCAGCUCAGGUCACGAUCUCACAGUUUGUGGGUUCGAGCCCCACAUCAGGCUCUGUGCUGACAGCGCUGAGCCUGCUUGGGAUCCUCUCUCUCCCUCUCUCUCUCUUCCCCUCCCCGCCUCUCAAAAUAAAUACACAAAUACAUACA
RNAcentral lists this long non-coding RNA (1146 nucleotides) under Felis catus (domestic cat). Its description in RNAcentral is "lncRNA (ENSFCAG00000049944.1)". The record is from RNAcentral. Lineage: Eukaryota; Metazoa; Chordata; Mammalia; Carnivora; Felidae.